ACGGGUGAGUAACGCGUAGGUAACCUGCCUGGUAGCGGGGGAUAACUAUUGGAAACGAUAGCUAAUACCGCAUAACAGUAGAUAUCGCAUGAUAGUUGCUUGAAAGGUGCAAUUGCACCACUACCAGAUGGACCUGCGUUGUAUUAGCUAGUUGGUGAGGUAACGGCUCACCAAGGCAACGAUACAUAGCCGACCUGAGAGGGUGAUCGGCCACACUGGGACUGAGACACGGCCCAGACUCCUACGGGAGGCAGCAGUAGGGAAUCUUCGGCAAUGGACGGAAGUCUGACCGAGCAACGCCGCGUGAGUGAAGAAGGUUUUCGGAUCGUAAAGCUCUGUUGUAAGAGAAGAACGAGUGUGAGAGUGGAAAGUUCACACUGUGACGGUAUCUUACCAGAAAGGGACGGCUAACUACGUGCCAGCAGCCGCGGUAAUAC
Molecule: ribosomal RNA, 437 nt
Filed under: Streptococcus sp. HGB0027
Lineage: Bacteria; Bacillati; Bacillota; Bacilli; Lactobacillales; Streptococcaceae
Description: bacterial SSU rRNA
Rfam family: Bacterial small subunit ribosomal RNA
Source: RNAcentral